GCUUGUGGGAAGUUCGUCGCCUGUCCUUGUGGCAGGAGGAAAGUCCGGGCAGCGUAGGGCAUCCUGCUUCCUAACGGGAAGGAUUUUUUGCGCCGGCGAGAAAGACAGCAAGUGCAACAGAAAGCAAACCAGCCGAUGGUUUCGGCUUGCCGGAACACAGGUGAUGGGUGAAAUGGUGGGGUAAGAGCCCACCGGUCUCGGUGGCAACAUCGGGAGCCAGGUAAACCUCAGGAGCUGAAAGACCAAAUAAACCGGCGGUUUAGGGCGGCCCGUCUGAUGCCGGUGGGUAGGUCGUUGGAGCCUGAUGGCGACGUCAGGCCUAGAUAAAUGACGACAAUCUGCUACGGCAGAUCACAGAACCCGGCUUAUGCACUGCAAGCCAUG
RNAcentral lists this RNase P RNA (384 nucleotides) under Bacteroidia bacterium. RNAcentral describes it as "RNase P RNA component class A". It matches the Rfam family "Bacterial RNase P class A". Rfam says of the family: Ribonuclease P (RNase P) is a ubiquitous endoribonuclease, found in archaea, bacteria and eukarya as well as chloroplasts and mitochondria. The record is from RNAcentral. Lineage: Bacteria; Pseudomonadati; Bacteroidota; Bacteroidia.